RNAcentral lists this ribosomal RNA (206 nucleotides) under uncultured bacterium. RNAcentral describes it as "partial 16S ribosomal RNA". It matches the Rfam family "Bacterial small subunit ribosomal RNA", at positions 568 to 774 of the family's 1533-position model. The record is from RNAcentral.
AGCGUGGACGGUGUGGCAAGUCUGAUGUGAAAGGCAUGGGCUCAACCUGUGGACUGCAUUGGAAACUGUCAUACUUGAGUGCCGGAGGGGUAAGCGGAAUUCCUAGUGUAGCGGUGAAAUGCGUAGAUAUUAGGAGGAACACCAGUGGCGAAGGCGGCUUACUGGACGGUAACUGACGUUGAGGCUCGAAAGCGUGGGAGCAAACA